Molecule: ribosomal RNA, 90 nt
Filed under: Firmicutes bacterium CAG:124
Lineage: Bacteria; Bacillati; Bacillota
Source: RNAcentral
ACCUGUUCCCAUACCGAACACAGAAGUUAAGCUCGUGAUCGCCGAAAAUACUUGCCGGGCGACUGGCCGGGAAAAUAGGGAAUGCCGACA